AAUGAGGGAGAGUUAACGGACCAUCGAGUAUCCACUGGAGGGCAAGUCUGGUGCCAGCAGCUGCGGUAAUACCAGCUCCAAUAGCGUAUAUUAAAGUUGUUGCAGUUAAAAAGCUCGUAGUUGGACUUGUGUGCGCUGUCCGCGGGUGGCCUGCGCCCAAAAGGGCGUUUCGGUUCGGCCCCGGUGGCGCCUUGAAAUCUGCAGCUGGGGGGACGUUGGCCUUAACUGGUCGGCGACCGCACGCCGGCUGCUCGGUUACUGUGAGAAAAUUAGAGUGUUCAAGGCAGGUAUUGGGUGCAAUUGAAUACAUUAGCAUGGAAUAAUAAAAUAUGGCUCCUGCCGUAUUUUGUUGGUUUUGACUGGUGGGAGUAAUGAUUGAUAGGGACGGUUGGGGGUGCUAGUAUUGAGCGGCCAGAGGUGAAAUUCAUGGAUUCGCUCAAGACUAACUUAUGCGAAAGCAUUCACCAAGGACGUCCUCUUUAAUCAAGAACGAAAGUUGGGGGAUCGAAGACGAUCAGAUACCGUCGUAGUCUCAACCAUAAACUAUGUCGACUUGGGAUCGGCGGUAGUUUUUUCAUUAAGACACUGUCGGGACCACGGGAGAAAUCAAAGUGUCUGGACUCUGGGGGAAGUAUGGUCGCAAGGCUGAAACUUGAAGGAAUUGACGGAAGGGCACCACCAGGAGUGGAGCCUGCGGCUUAAUUUGACCCAACACGGGGAAACUUACCAGGUCCAGAGAUAUAGAGGAUUGACAGAUUGAAGCUCUUUCUUGAUCACUUCGGUGGUGGUGCAUGGCCGUUCUUAGUUGGUGGAGUGAUUUGUCUGGUUAAUUCCGUUAACGAACGAGACCUCAGCCUGCUAGUGUAGUCGGCUGGAUUGCCUUUGGCGAUCCGUGAUUUCGACUUCUUAGAGGGACAAUCGACGCGCAGUCGAUGGAAGUUUGAGGCAAUAACAGGUCUGUGAUGCCCUUAGAUGUUCUGGGCCGCACGCGCGCUACACUGCUGGGCUCAGCGAGUUUUAUUUGGCCGAGAGGCCCGGUUAAUCUUGUGAAAUCCCAGCGUGCUUGGGCUCGCCUCCUGCAACUGGAGGCGCCAACGAGGAAUUCCUAGUAGACGCAGGUCAUCAACCUGCAUCGAUUACGUCCCUGCCCUUUGUACACACCGCCCGUCGUUCCAUAAGAGUGAGGCAUCCGGUGAAUUCUCGGGAGAGCCUGGGCGUGGCCAGCAAUGGUCUGCUCGGGUUUGAACUUGCAUAAACUUGGUGCCUAUGAUUAGGG
This 1276-nucleotide ribosomal RNA is filed under the name metagenome. RNAcentral's name for it is "SSU rRNA". It matches the Rfam family "Eukaryotic small subunit ribosomal RNA", at positions 513 to 1783 of the family's 1831-position model. The record is from RNAcentral.